RNAcentral lists this ribosomal RNA (303 nucleotides) under uncultured bacterium. RNAcentral's name for it is "bacterial SSU rRNA". It matches the Rfam family "Bacterial small subunit ribosomal RNA", at positions 355 to 656 of the family's 1533-position model. The record is from RNAcentral.
UGAGGAAUAUUGGUCAAUGGCCGGAAGGCUGAACCAGCCAAGCCGCGUGAAGGACGAAGGUGCCAAGCAUUGUAAACUUCUUUUGUCAAGGGACAAAAUCAGGCUCGAGAGCCUGACCGAGGGUACUUGAAGAAAAAGCAUCGGCUAACUCCGUGCCAGCAGCCGCGGUAAUACGGAGGAUGCGAGCGUUAUCCGGAUUUAUUGGGUUUAAAGGGUGCGUAGGCGGGCUGUUAAGUCAGCGGUAAAAGCCCGGGGCUCAACCCCGGCGAGCCGUUGAAACUGGCUGUCUUGAGAUGUCGAGAG